RNAcentral lists this ribosomal RNA (253 nucleotides) under uncultured bacterium. Its description in RNAcentral is "partial 16S ribosomal RNA". It matches the Rfam family "Bacterial small subunit ribosomal RNA", at positions 524 to 776 of the family's 1533-position model. The record is from RNAcentral.
UACGUAGGGGCCUAGCGUUGUCCGGAUUUAUUGGGCGUAAAGGGCUCGUAGGCGGUUUGUCGCGUCGGGAGUGAAAACCAUGGGCUUAACUCAUGGCUUGCUUUCGAUACGGGCAGACUAGAGGUAUGCAGGGGAGAACGGAAUUCCUGGUGUAGCGGUGAAAUGCGCAGAUAUCAGGAGGAACACCGGUGGCGAAGGCGGUUCUCUGGGCAUGAUCUGACGCUGAGGAGCGAAAGUGUGGGGAGCGAACAGG